UCCUGUUAGAGGAAGAGAAGAGCAUGGAUUAUUGUGAAAAAGAAUCCUGUUUAAUUCUAUUCAUUCCCAUGUGGAGAACAAGACAUCGUGAUUAAAAGAGAAGCCGGGCCAAGCGUUAAUGGAGCAGAAGAAAGUCGGAACAAAGCGAAGGACGAUCAGUGGGAAAGGAGGCCGCAGGCAUUACAGUUAUUUUAAGCCGGCACUAAUGUUCAGAUGUUUACUCAGAAGAGUGCAUGUGAGACACAAGAUACAAGGAUACACAGAAGAUAAACUAUCCCUUCUAGACAUUACAACUCUGCUGCACAUGGGAGAUAUCAGGUAGAAAGCUUCACGUAUUAAGUACCAGGACAAAGGUUAACGAUGGGAUAAAUAUGUUCGGUUUCUACAGCACAAGCCGGUUAUUCUGGUCUCUCCUUACAAGGCUGCACUUAGCUAACAUUGAAUGGUCUUUACUCAGAAAUCCUAGCAAGGUAAUGGUAAAAGACAAGCCCCAGAUUGGUGACCAUAGAAGGGUUAUCCGACACCCUCUAUAACCACACUGGGCUUCGUAUGAUCGGAUUACCUGUAAACAUUAGUUAUAUUCUGUGAAACUGUGAAUUCUAGAUCAACAAUUUUUGCCUAAUUCCCUUUCUAAAAAUGUUGGAUUAAAGCCAAUCUGGCCACCAUUAUAUGGAGCAGAAAAUCAUUCUUGUCAUGAAAGCAGAAGAUAGGAAUAUUACCAACUCAAGUGAGUGUAA
This is a long non-coding RNA of Hyla sarda, 737 nucleotides long. RefSeq lists it as uncharacterized. The record is from RefSeq and is a predicted model, not a curated record. NCBI's taxonomy places the organism in Eukaryota, Metazoa, Chordata, Amphibia, Anura, Hylidae. The transcript is spliced from 3 exons.